This 370-nucleotide ribosomal RNA is filed under the name uncultured organism. RNAcentral's name for it is "bacterial SSU rRNA". It matches the Rfam family "Bacterial small subunit ribosomal RNA", at positions 526 to 896 of the family's 1533-position model. The record is from RNAcentral.
CGAGAGGCCCAAACGUUAUUCGGAAUUACUGGGCUUAAAGAGUUCGUAGGCGGCAUGAAAAGCAGGGUGUGAAAGCCCUCGGCUCAACCGAGGAAUUGCGCUCUGAACUGUCGUGCUAGAGGAACCUAGAGGUGAGCAGAACUGAUGGUGGAGCGGUGAAAUGCGUUGAUAUCAUCAGGAAUACCGGAGGCGAAGGCGGCUCACUGGGGGUUUUCUGACGCUGAGGAACGAAAGCCAGGGGAGCGAACGGGAUUAGAUACCCCGGUAGUCCUGGCCGUAAACGAUGAGCACUAGGCCGGAGCCCUGCACAGGGUUUCGGCCGUAGCUAAAGUGUUAAGUGCUCCGCCUGGGGAGUAUGGUCGCAAGGCCG